UGCCCAACAAUAUCCUGGUGCUGAGUGAGUUGCAAGAUGGAGACUCCAGCAUCAGUGAUUUUGUUGAGGA
This 70-nucleotide microRNA precursor is filed under the name Eubucco bourcierii (red-headed barbet). Its description in RNAcentral is "mir-338 microRNA precursor family". It matches the Rfam family "mir-338 microRNA precursor family". The record is from Rfam by way of RNAcentral. Lineage: Eukaryota; Metazoa; Chordata; Aves; Piciformes; Ramphastidae. RNAcentral also lists the same sequence under 5 other names.